AUUUACGGAGAGUUUGAUCCUGGCUCAGGACGAACGCUGGCGGCGUGCUUAAUACAUGCAAGUCGAACGGAGCCCAGCCGAUAGUUUUCUCUAUUGGCGACGGCUUAGUGGCGGACGGGUGAGUAACG
Molecule: ribosomal RNA, 128 nt
Filed under: Bacillota bacterium
Lineage: Bacteria; Bacillati; Bacillota
Description: Firmicutes bacterium (anaerobic digester metagenome) partial 16S ribosomal RNA
Rfam family: Bacterial small subunit ribosomal RNA
Source: RNAcentral